ACGGACUUCGGAAGCCUUGGCUUUUUUCUCUUUCUUCAUCCUAAACAAUGCACUCGCCAACUUUCCGAGAUCCCACUCGAGACCGCUGACCUGAACCUCCAGCUGCGAAGUCUCAGCGGCGUGAGCGUCCUCAGUAGAUUUCAGCGUGGCCUCAAUUCGUUUCAACGCCUCCCGCGACCCUUCUAGGCCCUCUGUCAAAUGCCCAACCUCCGAACCGCAGUCGCUAAUCAUCCCGUCGAUCAACAAUAUGAACUGCGAACGAAAUAAGAGUCAGAAUAAUUGAAGAACAAAGUAUCCUACAAGAAUUUUUUUUUUUUUUUUUUGAAAACAAACCUUGACGCGAUAUUGCGGUAAAGGCCACGAAGGCUCUCCUUCCGCACCUUUGGAACAUCUUCUCUUCUUGGCAGUCUCGGUUGCGGCGCCAUUCCUUUUGCGACCUUUGGGCAGCAGAGCGGCACUAGGCGCAGGAAGCCCUAGGACGAUCUCUUUCCUGUCCAAAGGCGGAGGCAUCGACUCCAUUGCUUGUCCUUUCUCAGGAAUCGGGACUGGGGUAGUGGAAGAGCCCGAAGGUUGGGCCAAGACCU
Molecule: long non-coding RNA, 584 nt
Filed under: Brassica napus (rape)
Lineage: Eukaryota; Viridiplantae; Streptophyta; Magnoliopsida; Brassicales; Brassicaceae
Description: long non-coding RNA (BNAP_LNC012292)
Source: RNAcentral